GAUGAAGAACGCAGCGAAAUGCGAUAAGUAAUGUGAAUUGCAGAAUUCAGUGAAUCAUCGAAUCUUUGAACGCACAUUGCGCCCGCCAGUAUUCUGGCGGGCAUGCCUGUUCGAGCGUCAUUUCAACCCUCAAGCCCUGCUUGGUGUUGGGGAUCGGCGUUGCCUCCUCCGUCGUUCGCGGCGGGGUGAGGUCGCCGCCCCCGAAAUGAAUUGGCGGUCUCGUCGCAGCUUUCCUUUGCGUAGUAGCUAACACCUCGCAACUGGAACGCGGCGCGGCCAUGCCGUAAAACCCCAACUUCUGAAUGUUGACCUCGGAUCAGGUAGGAAUACCCGCUGAACUUAAGCAUAUCAAUAAGCGGAGGA
Molecule: unclassified non-coding RNA, 363 nt
Filed under: soil metagenome
Description: partial contains 5.8S ribosomal RNA, internal transcribed spacer 2, and large subunit ribosomal RNA
Rfam family: 5.8S ribosomal RNA (bases 1-120)
Source: RNAcentral